This 77-nucleotide transfer RNA is filed under the name Rhizoctonia solani AG-1 IB. RNAcentral's name for it is "tRNA-Lys". Lineage: Eukaryota; Fungi; Basidiomycota; Agaricomycetes; Cantharellales; Ceratobasidiaceae. The record is from RNAcentral.
UCAUCUCAAGGCUGCGGGUUCGAGCCCCGCGUGGGGCUGCCCUGCUAGCUCAAUCGGUAGAGCGUGAGACUUUUACA